GGAUGGAUCAUGGAUCCCAAGGGGAGAGGUGUAGUCCUCCAGAGCUGCUGGAUCGUUCACGCGGGGAAGUGGUUCAACGAUGUGUCCCGUGGAGCCGCUGGAUCUGGUGCUCAACAAUGUCUCGCGCGUCACCGUCGGGGACGCUGCGCUUCCCUGUCGGAGGUUGAUCUCGCCUCGGCCACUAAGGCCCUGUUCGGUAAUCGACUGGCUCCCAGAAUCUACGGAGCUGGAAAACCGAGCUCUCGUAUUUUCAACUGUAGCUCCGUCAGCUCCGCUCCCGGAGCUGCGGAGCAGAGCGUCUCCGAACAGGCACUAAGUUAUCCUCUGAGAAACACAUAAUGUAUCCUUUAAGCACAGAUUGUGGGGACGACGAGUGCCUCAGGGUGAGAUUCGCUUCUUGCCUUCAAUCUCAUUGUCUUGCCUUUCCUUUCAGGUCGCAACAGUCUUGGAGCCGUGGACGCAGUCCAGGUCGCUGUCAAAUUCAAGUUCCAAGAGGCUUUUGUGCUGGGGC
RNAcentral lists this long non-coding RNA (511 nucleotides) under Hordeum vulgare. RNAcentral's name for it is "long non-coding RNA (HVUL_LNC016719)". The record is from RNAcentral. Lineage: Eukaryota; Viridiplantae; Streptophyta; Magnoliopsida; Poales; Poaceae.